AACGACGCUCAUGCUCGAAGGCGCGGGUAUCAAACAGGAUUAGAUACCCUGGUAGUCCGCGCGGUAAACGAUGAACACUCGGGAUUUGCCUUUUGAGGGUGAGUCCCCCAGCGAAAGCGUUAAGUGUUCCACCUGGGGAGUACGCCGGCAACGGUGAAACUCAAAGGAAUUGACGGGGGCCCGCACAAGCGGAGGAACAUGUGGUUUAAUUCGAUGAUACGCGAGGAACCUUACCCGGGCUUGAAAUGUGCAUGACAGCGGAGAGAGACCUCCGCUUCCUUCGGGCAUGCAUGUAGGUGCUGCAUGGUUGUCGUCAGCUCGUGCCGUGAGGUGUCGGCUUAAGUGCCAUAACGAGCGCAACCCUUUCCGCCGGUUGCCACCGCGUCGUGGCGGGCACUCCGGCGGCACUGCCGCCGCAAGGCGUGAGGAAGGCGGGGAUGACGUCAAAUCAGCACGGCCCUUACGUCCGGGGCCACACACGUGUUACAAUGGGGGGCACAGCGAGCUGGACCAGGGCGACCUGGUUCGAAUCAUGAAAUCCCCUCCCAGUUCGGACUGGAGUCUGCAACCCGACUCCACGAAGCCGGAUUCGCUAGUAAU
RNAcentral lists this ribosomal RNA (600 nucleotides) under uncultured bacterium. RNAcentral's name for it is "bacterial SSU rRNA". It matches the Rfam family "Bacterial small subunit ribosomal RNA", at positions 739 to 1342 of the family's 1533-position model. The record is from RNAcentral.